RNAcentral lists this ribosomal RNA (383 nucleotides) under uncultured bacterium. RNAcentral describes it as "partial 16S ribosomal RNA". It matches the Rfam family "Bacterial small subunit ribosomal RNA", at positions 356 to 729 of the family's 1533-position model. The record is from RNAcentral.
UGGGGAAUUUGGACGAAUUGGGCGAAAGCCUGAUCCAGCAAUGCCGCGUGUGUGAAGAAGGCCUUCGGGUUGUAAAGCACUUUUGUCCGGAAAGAAAUCCUUGGCUCUAAUACAGUCGGGGGAUGACGGUACCGGAAGAAUAAGCACCGGCUAACUACGUGCCAGCAGCCGCGGUAAUACGUAGGGUGCAAGCGUUAAUCGGAAUUACUGGGCGUAAAGCGUGCGCAGGCGGUUUGCUAAGACCGAUGUGAAAUCCCCGGGCUCAACCUGGGAACUGCAUUGGUGACUGGCAGGCUAGAGUAUGGCAGAGGGGGGUAGAAUUCCACGUGUAGCAGUGAAAUGCGUAGAGAUGUGGAGGAAUACCGAUGGCGAAGGCAGCCCCU